RNAcentral lists this ribosomal RNA (458 nucleotides) under Spathaspora sp. RNAcentral describes it as "LSU rRNA". It matches the Rfam family "Eukaryotic large subunit ribosomal RNA", at positions 51 to 507 of the family's 3401-position model. Lineage: Eukaryota; Fungi; Ascomycota; Pichiomycetes; Serinales; Debaryomycetaceae. The record is from RNAcentral.
CGGAGGAAAAGAAACCAACAGGGAUUGCCUCAGUAGCGGCGAGUGAAGCGGCAAAAGCUCAAAUUUGAAAUCUGGCGUGGACCACGCCCGAGUUGUAAUUUGAAGAAGGUAUCUUUGGGCCCGGCUCUUGUCUAUGUUCCUUGGAACAGGACGUCACAGAGGGUGAGAAUCCCGUGCGAUGGGAGUUUCGGGACCGUGUAAAGUUCCUUCGACGAGUCGAGUUGUUUGGGAAUGCAGCUCUAAGUGGGUGGUAAAUUCCAUCUAAAGCUAAAUAUUGGCGAGAGACCGAUAGCGAACAAGUACAGUGAUGGAAAGAUGAAAAGAACUUUGAAAAGAGAGUGAAAAAGUACGUGAAAUUGUUGAAAGGGAAGGGCUUGAGAUCAGACUUGGUAUGGAGUUAUGUCGUUCCGUAGCGGGGCGGCCUCUACGCUUUUCACCAGGCCAGCAUCGGUUUGUGC